GACGAACGCUGGCGGCGUGCUUAACACAUGCAAGUCGAACGGAAAGGCCUGCUUUCCCUUGUGGAUUGCGGGUACUCGAGUGGCGAACGGGUGAGUAACACGUGAGUGAUCUGCCCCCAACUUGGGUAUAAGCCUGGGAAACUGGGUCUAAUUCCCGAUAGGACUGCAGGGUGGUGCCUGUGGUGGAAAACGAUUUUCUAGUGGUUGGGGAUGAGCUCGCGGCCUAUCAGCUUGUUGGUGGGGUAAUGGCCUACCAAGGCGGCGACGGGUAGCCGGCCUGAGAGGGUGGACGGCCAAAUUGGGACUGAGAUACGGCCCAGACUCCUACGGGAGGCAGCAGUGGGGAAUAUAGCACAAUGGGCGGAAGCCUGAUGCAGCGACGCCGCGUGGGGGAUGACGGCCUUCGGGUUGUAAACUCCUUUCGACCGCGAGGAAGCCACCUGGUUGGAAGGGUGGUGACGGUAGUGGUAGAAGAAGCACCGGCUAACUACGU
RNAcentral lists this ribosomal RNA (493 nucleotides) under uncultured bacterium. Its description in RNAcentral is "partial 16S ribosomal RNA". It matches the Rfam family "Bacterial small subunit ribosomal RNA", at positions 28 to 506 of the family's 1533-position model. The record is from RNAcentral.